UGGUGCUUGCACCUGAUUGAUUUUGGUCGCCAACGAGUGGCGGACGGGUGAGUAACACGUAGGUAACCUGCCCAGAAGCGGGGGACAACAUUUGGAAACAGAUGCUAAUACCGCAUAACANCGUUGUUCGCAUGAACAACGCUUAAAAGAUGGCUUCUCGCUAUCACUUCUGGAUGGACCUGCGGUGCAUUAGCUUGUUGGUGGGGUAACGGCCUACCAAGGCGAUGAUGCAUAGCCGAGUUGAGAGACUGAUCGGCCACAAUGGGACUGAGACACGGCCCAUACUCCUACGGGAGGCAGCAGUAGGGAAUCUUCCACAAUGGGCGCAAGCCUGAUGGAGCAACACCGCGUGAGUGAAGAAGGGUUUCGGCUCGUAAAGCUCUGUUGUUAAAGAAGAACACGUAUGAGAGUAACUGUUCAUACGUUGACGGUAUUUAACCAGAAAGUCACGGCUAACUACGUGCCAGCAGCCGCGGUAAUACGUAGGUGGCAAGCGUUAUCCGGAUUUAUUGGGCGUAAAGAGAGUGCAGGCGGUUUUCUAAGUCUGAUGUGAAAGCCUUCGGCUUAACCGGAGAAGUGCAUCGGAAACUGGAUAACUUGAGUGCAGAAGAGGGUAGUGGAACUCCAUGUGUAGCGGUGGAAUGCGUAGAUAUAUGGAAGAACACCAGUGGCGAAGGCGGCUACCUGGUCUGCAACUGACGCUGAGACUCGAAAGCAUGGGUAGCGAACAGGAUUAGAUACCCUGGUAGUCCAUGCCGUAAACGAUGAGUGCUAGGUGUUGGAGGGUUUCCGCCCUUCAGUGCCGGAGCUAACGCAUUAAGCACUCCGCCUGGGGAGUACGACCGCAAGGUUGAAACUCAAAGGAAUUGACGGGGGCCCGCACAAGCGGUGGAGCAUGUGGUUUAAUUCGAAGCUACGCGAAGAACCUUACCAGGUCUUGACAUCUUGCGCCAACCCUAGAGAUAGGGCGUUUCCUUCGGGAACGCAAUGACAGGUGGUGCAUGGUCGUCGUCAGCUCGUGUCGUGAGAUGUUGGGUUAAGUCCCGCAACGAGCGCAACCCUUGUUACUAGUUGCCAGCAUUAAGUUGGGCACUCUAGUGAGACUGCCGGUGACAAACCGGAGGAAGGUGGGGACGACGUCAGAUCAUCAUGCCCCUUAUGACCUGGGCUACACACGUGCUACAAUGGACGGUACAACGAGUCGCGAACUCGCGAGGGCAAGCAAAUCUCUUAAAACCGUUCUCAGUUCGGACUGCAGGCUGCAACUCGCCUGCACGAAGUCGGAAUCGCUAGUAAUCGCGGAUCAGCAUGCCGCGGUGAAUACGUUCCCGGGCCUUGUACACACCGCCCGUCACACCAUGAGAGUUUGUAACACCCAAAGUC
This 1383-nucleotide ribosomal RNA is filed under the name Limosilactobacillus fermentum. RNAcentral describes it as "bacterial SSU rRNA". It matches the Rfam family "Bacterial small subunit ribosomal RNA". The record is from RNAcentral. Lineage: Bacteria; Bacillati; Bacillota; Bacilli; Lactobacillales; Lactobacillaceae.